CAUUGCUGGAGACAGUGAAGUGAUCAUUUCCCAGAGCGAGAAACACACGGGACCAGUAAGAGCUCUCGACGUCAACUCGUUUCAGACAAACCUUGUGGCCUCUGGGGGAAAUGAGUCAGAAAUCUACAUUUGGGAUUUGAACAACUUGAGCUCCCCAAUGACGCCAGGACCCAAAACUCAGCCCCUAGAGGACAUCAGCUGUGUUGCGUGGAACAGACAGGUGCAGCACAUCCUGGCCUCGGCCAGUCCCAGCGGAAAAGCUUCGGUCUGGGAUCUGAGAAAGAACGACCUGAUCAUCAAAGUCAGCGAUCACAGC
Molecule: long non-coding RNA, 316 nt
Organism: Sinocyclocheilus rhinocerous
Lineage: Eukaryota; Metazoa; Chordata; Actinopteri; Cypriniformes; Cyprinidae
Exons: 3
Source: RefSeq, a predicted model, not a curated record